This 72-nucleotide transfer RNA is filed under the name Camelus bactrianus (Bactrian camel). It matches the Rfam family "tRNA". From Rfam's summary of the family: Transfer RNA (tRNA) molecules are approximately 80 nucleotides in length. Their secondary structure includes four short double-helical elements and three loops (D, anti-codon, and T loops). RNAcentral also lists the same sequence under 2 other names. Lineage: Eukaryota; Metazoa; Chordata; Mammalia; Artiodactyla; Camelidae. The record is from Rfam by way of RNAcentral.
AAGGGUAUAGCUCAGUGGUAGAGUGCCUGCUUAUCAUGCAGGAGGUCCUGGGUUCAAUCCCCAGUACCUUCA